This 253-nucleotide ribosomal RNA is filed under the name uncultured bacterium. RNAcentral describes it as "partial 16S ribosomal RNA". It matches the Rfam family "Bacterial small subunit ribosomal RNA", at positions 524 to 776 of the family's 1533-position model. The record is from RNAcentral.
UACGUAGGCAGCAAGCGUUGUUCGGAGUUACUGGGCGUAAAGGGUGCGUAGGCGGCUUCUUAAGUCUGAUGUGAAAUCCCCGGGCUCAACCUGGGAAUGGCAUUGGAUACUGGCUCGCUGGAGUGCGGUAGAGGGUGGUGGAAUUCCCGGUGUAGCAGUGAAAUGCGUAGAGAUCGGGAGGAACAUCUGUGGCGAAGGCGGCCACCUGGACCAGCACUGACACUGAGGCACGAAAGCGUGGGGAGCAAACAGG